RNAcentral lists this transfer RNA (126 nucleotides) under Tolypocladium ophioglossoides CBS 100239. It matches the Rfam family "tRNA". From Rfam's summary of the family: Transfer RNA (tRNA) molecules are approximately 80 nucleotides in length. Their secondary structure includes four short double-helical elements and three loops (D, anti-codon, and T loops). Lineage: Eukaryota; Fungi; Ascomycota; Sordariomycetes; Hypocreales; Ophiocordycipitaceae. The record is from Rfam by way of RNAcentral.
GGCAAGGUGGCCGAGUGGUUAAGGCGGCAGUCUCAAGUUCAUGCUAGUUUUUGCAUAGCUUGCUCGCUCAACGCAAGUAUAUUGCUGCUGGAGCAAUCCUCCAGGGUUCGAAUCCCUGUCUUGUCA